UACGUAGGGUGCGAGCGUUAAUCGGAAUUACUGGGCGUAAAGCGUGCGCAGGCGGUUUUGUAAGCCAGAUGUGAAAUCCCCGGGCUUAACCUGGGAAUGGCAUUUGGGACUGCAAGGCUGGAGUGUGGCAGAGGAGACUGGAAUUCCUGGUGUAGCAGUGAAAUGCGUAGAUAUCAGGAGGAAUACCGAUGGCGAAGGCAGGUCUCUGGGCUGACACUGACGCUCAUGCACGAAAGCCAGGGGAGCAAACGGG
This 253-nucleotide ribosomal RNA is filed under the name uncultured bacterium. RNAcentral describes it as "partial 16S ribosomal RNA". It matches the Rfam family "Bacterial small subunit ribosomal RNA", at positions 524 to 776 of the family's 1533-position model. The record is from RNAcentral.